AUUGAACGCUGGCGGCAUGCUUUACACAUGCAAGUCGGACGAGUGGCGAACGGGUGAGUAACGCAUCGGAACGUACCGAGUAAUGGGGGCAAAAUGUCCGAAAGGACAGCUAAUACCGCAUAUUAUUCGAGCGGCCGACGUCGUAUUAGCUGGUUGGCGGGGUAAAGGCCCACCAAGGCGUCGCUCAGUAGCGGGUCUGAGAGGGUGAUCGGCCACACUGGGACUGAGACACGGCCCAGACUCCUACGGGAGGCAGCAGUUGGGAAUUUUGGGCAAUGGGCGCAAGCCUGAUCGAGCCAUGCCGCGUGUCUGAAGAAGGCCUUCGGGUUGUAAAGGACUUUUGUCAGGGAAGCGGUACCUGAACAGUAAGCACCGGCUAACUUCGUGCCAGCAGCCGCGGUAAUUC
Molecule: ribosomal RNA, 406 nt
Filed under: uncultured bacterium
Lineage: Bacteria
Description: partial 16S ribosomal RNA
Rfam family: Bacterial small subunit ribosomal RNA
Source: RNAcentral